Molecule: ribosomal RNA, 427 nt
Filed under: uncultured bacterium
Lineage: Bacteria
Description: bacterial SSU rRNA
Rfam family: Bacterial small subunit ribosomal RNA
Source: RNAcentral
UGGGGAAUUUUGGACAAUGGACGCAAGUCUGAUCCAGCCAUGCCGCGUGCGGGAAGAAGGCCUUCGGGUUGUAAACCGCUUUUGUCAGGGAAGAAACGAGUUUCUCUAAUACAGAGACUUAAUGACGGUACCUGAAGAAUAAGCACCGGCUAACUACGUGCCAGCAGCCGCGGUAAUACGUAGGGUGCAAGCGUUAAUCGGAAUUACUGGGCGUAAAGCGUGCGCAGGCGGUUGUGUAAGUCAGAUGUGAAAUCCCCGGGCUCAACCUGGGAAUUGCAUUUGAGACUGCACGGCUAGAGUGUGUCAGAGGGAGAUGGAAUUCCGCGUGUAGCAGUGAAAUGCGUAGAUAUGCGGAGGAACAGCGAUGGCGAAGGCAAUCCCCUGGGCCUGUACUGACGCUCAUGCACGAAAGCGUGGGGAGCAAACA